Molecule: transfer RNA, 66 nt
Filed under: Neptis soma (sullied sailer)
Lineage: Eukaryota; Metazoa; Arthropoda; Insecta; Lepidoptera; Nymphalidae
Description: tRNA-Trp
Source: RNAcentral
AAGGUUUUAAGUUAAUAAAACUAAUAAUCUUCAAAAUUAUCUAUAAAGAAGUUUCUUUAAGCCUUA